RNAcentral lists this ribosomal RNA (500 nucleotides) under uncultured bacterium. RNAcentral describes it as "bacterial SSU rRNA". It matches the Rfam family "Bacterial small subunit ribosomal RNA", at positions 29 to 524 of the family's 1533-position model. The record is from RNAcentral.
AAUGAACGCUGGCGGCGUGCUUUACACAUGCAAGUCGAGCGAGGCGUCCCGCAAGGGAUAGUCGAGCGGCGAACGGGUGAGUAACGCGUGGAUAACCUGCCCUGAGGUGGGGGAUAACCAGGGGAAACUCUGGCUAAUACCGCAUGAUACCGAGAGGUCAAAGGGGGCUCGCAAGGGCUCUCGCCAUAGGAGGGGUCCGCGUCCGAUUAGCUAGUUGGUAGGGUAAUGGCCUACCAAGGCGACGAUCGGUAGCCGGCCUGAGAGGGUGAUCGGCCACACUGGAACUGAGACACGGUCCAGACUCCUACGGGAGGCAGCAGUGGGGAAUUUUGCGCAAUGGGCUAACGCCUGACGCAGCAACGCCGCGUGGAGGAUGAAGGUCCUUGGAUUGUAAACUCCUGUCAGCAGGGAAAAAGCGAAAUCGGUCUAAUACACCGGUGAGUUGAUUGUACCUGCAGAGGAAGCCCCGGGCUAAACUCUGUGCCAGCAGCCGCUGUAAC